GGACUACCGGGGUAUCUAAUCCGGUUCGCUCCCCUAGCUUUCGCGCAUCAGCGUCAGGUACGGCCCAGCAAAUCGCCUUCGCCACCGGCGUUCCUAGCGAUAUCUGCGCAUUUCACCGCUACACCGCUAGUUCCACUUGCCUCUACCGACCUCAAGUCAACGAAGUAUCCGAUGCACGAUCACAGUUGAGCCGUGACUUUUCACAUCGGACUUUCGUAACCGCCUACGCGCCCUUUACGCCCAGUGAAUCCGGAUAACGCUCGCCCCCUACGUCUUACCGCGGCUGCUGGCAC
RNAcentral lists this ribosomal RNA (293 nucleotides) under uncultured Acidobacteriota bacterium. RNAcentral's name for it is "uncultured Acidobacteria bacterium partial 16S ribosomal RNA". The record is from RNAcentral. Lineage: Bacteria; Pseudomonadati; Acidobacteriota.